This 1325-nucleotide ribosomal RNA is filed under the name metagenome. Its description in RNAcentral is "bacterial LSU rRNA". It matches the Rfam family "Bacterial large subunit ribosomal RNA", at positions 1561 to 2925 of the family's 2925-position model. The record is from RNAcentral.
AGUGGAUGGGGAGCAACCUAGUUGUGCGUGUGUAAAGGUAGUGCCAAGAAAAGCGGUGAUCAUGAUGAAAAUCAAUUCCCGGUACCCGAAACCGACACAGGUGGGCAAGUAGAGAAUACUAAGGGGCGCGAGGUAACUCUCUCCAAGGAACUCGGCAAAAUGACCCCGUAACUUAGGGAGAAGGGGUGCCACCGAGAGGUGGUCGCAGUGAAGAGGCCCAGGCGACUGUUUAGCAAAAACAUAGGUCUCUGCAAACUCGAAAGAGGAGGUAUAGGGGCUGACGCCUGCCCAGUGCCGGAAGGUUAAAGAAGUUGGUCAGUCUUAGGAUGAAGCUAGCGACUGAAGCCCCGGUGAACGGCGGCCGUAACUAUAACGGUCCUAAGGUAGCGAAAUUCCUUGUCGGGUAAGUUCCGACCCGCACGAAAGGCGUAACGAUCUGGGCGCUGUCUCGGAGAGAGGCUCGGCGAAAUAGGAUUGUCUGUGAAGAUACGGACUACCUGCAUUUGGACAGAAAGACCCUAUGAAGCUUUACUAUAGCUUGGAAUUGUGUUCGGGCUUCCUGUGCGCAGGAUAGGUGGGAGGCGUAGAAGGUAUUCUUGUGGGGAUACUGGAGCCAACGGUGAGAUACCACUCUCAGGAGGCUAGAAUUCUAACUUAAUUAAGGACAGUUUCAGGUGGGUAGUUUGACUGGGGCGGUCGCCUCCAAAAAGGUAACGGAGGCGUACAAAGGUUCCCUCAGACUGGUUGGAAAUCAGUCGAAGAGUGCAAAGGCAGAAGGGAGCUUGACUGCGAGAAGUACAGUUCGAGCAGGGUGGAAACACGGUCUUAGUGAUCCGACGGUGCUGUGUGGAAGGGCCGUCGCUCAACGGAUAAAAGUUACUCUAGGAUAACAGGCUGAUCUCCCCCAAGAGUUCACAUCGACGGGGAGGUUUGGCACCUCGAUGUCGGCUCAUCGCAACCUGGGGCGGAAGUACGUCCCAAGGGUUGGGCUGUUCGCCCAUUAAAGCGGUACGUGAGCUGGGUUCAGAACGUCGUGAGCCAGUUCGGUCCAUAUCCGAUGUAGGCGUGAGAAUAUUGAGAGGAGCCUUCCUUAGUACGAGAGGACCGGGAAGGACGCACCGCUGGUGUACCUGUUAUGAUGCCAAUUGUAAACGCAGGGUAGCCAAGUGCGGAGAGGAUAACCGCUGAAAGCAUCUAAGUGGGAAGCCCACCUCAAGAUGAGUAUUCUGGUGUAAGGUCACGGGAAGACGACCCGUAAAUAGGCACGAGGUGGAAGUGCAGAGAUGUAUGAAGCCGAAGUGUACUAAUAGACCGUCGGCUUGACC